GAUGAACGCUAGCGGCAGGCCUAAUACAUGCAAGUCGAGGGGCAGCAUAGUAGCAAUACUGAUGGCGACCGGCGCACGGGUGCGUAACGCGUAUGCAACCUACCCAUUACUGAGGGAUAGCCCCGGAGAAAUUCGGAUUAAUACCUCAUGGUAUCAAAGACAGGCAUUUGUUUUUGAUUAAAGAUUUAUCGGUAAUGGAUGGGCAUGCGUCAGGUUAGCUAGUUGGCGGGGUAACGGCCCACCAAGGCGAUGAUCUGUAGGGGGUCUGAGAGGAUGAUCCCCCACACUGGUACUGAGAUACGGACCAGACUCCUACGGGAGGCAGCAGUAGGGAAUAUUGGGUCAAUGGGGCGAGAGCCUGAACCAGCCAUGCCGCGUGCAGGAAGAAGGCCCUCUGGGUUGUAAAGCUCUUUUGCCGGGGGGAUAAAAGAUCCAUGCGUGGAGAAUUGAAGGUACCCGGUGAAUAAGCCACGGCCAACUACGUGCCAGCAGCCGCGGU
Molecule: ribosomal RNA, 499 nt
Filed under: uncultured bacterium
Lineage: Bacteria
Description: bacterial SSU rRNA
Rfam family: Bacterial small subunit ribosomal RNA
Source: RNAcentral